This 68-nucleotide transfer RNA is filed under the name Thauera sp. RNAcentral describes it as "tRNA-Pro". It matches the Rfam family "tRNA", at positions 10 to 71 of the family's 71-position model. From Rfam's summary of the family: Transfer RNA (tRNA) molecules are approximately 80 nucleotides in length. Their secondary structure includes four short double-helical elements and three loops (D, anti-codon, and T loops). Further hydrogen bonds mediate the characteristic L-shaped molecular structure. tRNAs have two regions of fundamental functional importance: the anti-codon, which is responsible for specific mRNA codon recognition, and the 3' end, to which the tRNAs corresponding amino acid is attached (by aminoacyl-tRNA synthetases). tRNAs cope with the degeneracy of the genetic code in two manners: having more than one tRNA (with a specific anti-codon) for a particular amino acid; and 'wobble' base-pairing, i.e. permitting non-standard base-pairing at the 3rd anti-codon position. Lineage: Bacteria; Pseudomonadati; Pseudomonadota; Betaproteobacteria; Rhodocyclales; Zoogloeaceae. The record is from RNAcentral.
GCGCAGCCUGGUAGCGCACUUGCAUGGGGUGCAAGGGGUCGCGAGUUCGAAUCCCGCCGCCCCGACCA